This 20-nucleotide ribosomal RNA is filed under the name Teratosphaeria cryptica. RNAcentral describes it as "partial 18S ribosomal RNA". The record is from RNAcentral. Lineage: Eukaryota; Fungi; Ascomycota; Dothideomycetes; Mycosphaerellales; Teratosphaeriaceae.
UCCGUAGGUGAACAUGCGGA